ACAUCUGCUGAUUAAUUUUCUCCUUGAGAAAUACAGUUUAAUUAUUUACGUGGACCUAAACCUUUAGUAGCAAAGAUGUAUAUGGGAAAUUCCCUCCAGCAUAACAUUCAUAGUGGAUUGCUUCUCUUUCUGGCUGUUAGCUACAUCAGGAAGGUGAGGAAACAAAGCUGAAGGUAAAGUGAAUUGCCAGGGGUCACAUGUCAACCAAAUUGAAGACCAAAAACUGGAACCCAGUUUUUCAAAAGAAGCAAUGGCUUACAUGGGACAUAGCAGCCAUCCAAGGAAAUACAAGAAUAGAAGGUGGGACUGGAGGUGCAUUCUGCUGAGAGGUGCUCAAGUGAGAAAAGCUGAUAAGAACUAAGUGAGCCUGGACUAAAAAGAAUCCUAUAGAACGAAGCUCUACAAUGAGAGGGCCCAUGUUUGUCCUGUUCACUGUAUCUCCUAUAACUCACAUAUACAAAAUAUCCAAAACAUUUUUUUCCAAUAAGAGAAUGAAAAAUUACUAAGUAAUUUUUUAAGAACUAGCUCAGCUCUAGGCUACAUGGAGUGGUAUUUCUAGAAAGUUCUUUGUUCUAUGGCCCAUAUCACCAGGGUAAGAGACUAGAUAAGCCUUUAGGGAAGGGAGGGGAAAAAUGAUAGUUAGCAAUAGACAUACACACGUUACAAAUAGCACAAGAAUUAUAAUUUUGGGGGGAUGCUAUAAUAAUCAAAAGGAUACUGAAUAAAGCCUGAAGCCAACAAGGAAGAG
RNAcentral lists this long non-coding RNA (748 nucleotides) under Papio anubis (olive baboon). RNAcentral's name for it is "lncRNA (ENSPANG00000039659.1)". Lineage: Eukaryota; Metazoa; Chordata; Mammalia; Primates; Cercopithecidae. The record is from RNAcentral.